RNAcentral lists this ribosomal RNA (281 nucleotides) under uncultured bacterium. RNAcentral's name for it is "partial 16S ribosomal RNA". It matches the Rfam family "Bacterial small subunit ribosomal RNA", at positions 68 to 354 of the family's 1533-position model. The record is from RNAcentral.
UUGCCUGCACCUGCCGGCGACCGGCGCACGGGUGAGUAACACGUAUGGAACCUGCCCGCCACAGGGGGAUAACCCGGGGAAACCCGGCCUAAUACCCCAUGCCGCCCGGACCGGGCAUCCGGUCCGGGCGAAAGGAGGAAUCCGGUGGCGGCUGGGCAUGCGGCGCACUAGCUUGACGGCGGGGUAACGGCCCACCGUGGCGACGAUGCGUAGGGGUUCUGAGAGGAAGGCCCCCCACACUGGAACUGAGACACGGUCCAGACUCCUACGGGAGGCAGCAG